AUCUUUGGGCUGUAGGCUCCUCCCUCCGUUCUGAUAGUGGAGACGGAGACGCAGAGAUGUUGAGCCAUGGCGUUGAGGAGCUGCAAGGGAGCUUGCAGAGGGCGACUGCCUGGGUGUAGGGCGGCCAGAGCUGGGGAGGGUCUGGCCCAGGAGACAAGGCAGUGGGGAUGGAGGCCCAGGCAGGACCAGUACUGUGGGGACUUUGGGAAGAAAGUGUGCUUGGCAGCCCCCCAUGACGCGUGGGGCGAGUCUGGAGCUGCAGGACGGUGAAGGGGUGAGGGCACCCCUGGGACACCCUCCUGCCCUUUCUAGGGGCCUCCAGCCUUCCUGGCCCCCUUGAGAGGAAGCUCUCACUCUGCUUUACUAGGGAAACUGAGGCAGGAGUGUGGAGGUGCUUCAUCCAAGUCAGCCUAAUGGAGGUGCACCCAGACCUCUCCCCCUACCUGCACCCAAGUAGGGCCCCAAGACACCUGGUCUCCGGGCAGCCUCCCCUGAGGAGACCUUGGUCGGCUCAGGAGGCCCCCUGCACCGUGAGACCCACAGACCGGGGCUCCAGCUCUGUGACCAGGUGCCUCACUGUGCCGCCCUGAGUCCCGGCCCCUCCCUGGCAGAGCGGGGGUUGCUGUGCCCCUCCCUCACCGGGCCUUUCUGGGGAUCAAAGUGCUUGCUGCGGGCAUCGCACAGCAGGUGCUCAACCGAAGGCAGAAGGUGCUGCUGUGGGGACGCGGCCUCCGGGAGGAGCCAGACGUGCCGAGAUGUGAGCCACUAAAUUAUCGACCUCGUCCUCGUACCCCAUGUGGCUCCGCACCCUUGGUGGCCUGAUGAGAUUCAGUGGACUCUUUGUGGGCCUCUUCUUCCGGCCCCUGUUGGCCACUCCCUUCUUCUUGCGUUGGCUCACUACAGCUGCUGUUAACCUACCCCUCGAUCCCCCGCUCCGCCACCAUAUACCACCCCCAAAGCCAGCUUGGGGUCCGCGCUAACCCCCUGUGCAGACGACGCCCCCAUCUUCAUCCAGACCUCCGUCCUGAGCCAGGGCACUGCCCGCCUAAACCUCCCCGACAUCUCCCCUGGGUUAAGAACGAGGUUAGAGCGUGGACCCACGACCCCGCCAUCCUUGCAGAAUUGGACUCCAGCUCUGACCUGCCCUUCUGGCCUUGUUUCGGAUCCCUCUAUGCGCUCCAAACUCUAGCCAAACCCAGCUGCUCCGUCCCUGCUACUUUCCCAUCUCAGUGCCUUUGAACGUGAUGUCCACUCAACCUGGGAUACUCUCGCCACCCUCCUAGCUAGCCAGUGUCUGCUCACUCCAGCACCCUCUCCUUCAGGAAGCCUCCCCUGACCUCCCAGGCUGGGUGUGCUGCCUCCUCUGUGCUGACUGUAGCUCCUUGUGAUUAACUGAAGAGGAGAGGCAGGUGGAGACACAGAGCACAGAGAAGAAAGAUGGCUCCCAACGAGCCCUCACCCGGCGCUCCUGCCCCGGCGUUGUCCCCUCCGCUUAUCUGGGCCAGCCCUAUGAUCUGUUCUUGAGGAACGUGAUGGAAGUCGUGCCACAGCACUUCCAAGCCAAAGCCACAAGCAGCGUGUAAGAAACAAAGAGAAGUCAAACAACAUGGAAGCGGUCAGACUACAGCCUACCCUGAGAGUGCCACGCUGUGGGGGGGGCACGGGCUGGCCACCGGAAGUGGCCACGUGGAGACAGGGAGAGAUGUCCAGUGGCCCCCAGCUCUCACAGCCAUCCCAGCUGAGGCACCAGAUACAUGAGGGAAGAAGCCAUCUUGGAUGCCCAACCCAGCUGAGCCUUCAGACGACUCCAGCCCAGCCACAUGUGGCGGCAACUGCACAACAGACACCAAGAGAACUGCCCAGCUGAGCCCAGUCGAGCCACAAGACCACGAGCGGUAACAAAGAGCUGUGUUCUGGGCCAUUAAGGCUGUGGCAGUUGGUUAGGCAGCAAUAGAGAAUUGAAACAGUCGGUAAUUUAAUGCCUACACAGCCCUCCGUGGGAGACAUCAUCGUCCCCAUUCAACACAUGGGGAAAAAAGCCCAGAGAGGGAUGUGACCCGAGGAGGUUCACACGGCCAGCCAGAGGCAGCAGCGGGCUCGGAACUCAGGCGGGUCAGCCUGAUCCCCCAGCCUCGGCUCUUUCCAGAGCACACGCCUGGCUGCCCGAGGAGACCAGACCUUGCAGCCAAACCACAUGAUUUUGGCCAAAUUCUCUGUUUGAGAGGUUACUGGGGUUUUCCCCAGGUGGCUCACCUGGGCACCUGCUGGAACCCUGGCUCUUUUUUUUUUUUUAACUGAGACAUGGUUCACACACAAAUGCACAAAUCGUUAAGUGCACAGUGUGGUAAAUUUUUACAUGGUAUCCAGCCAUGUGACCACCACGCAGAUCAAGACAUGGAACAUUUCUGGCACUCCAGAAAGUUCCCUCGUGCCCACUGCUCGUCAAUGUGCCCCGCCCCACCCAGAGCCGAGAGGUACCCACUGUUCUGAUGCCUAUCGCCACAGGAACAGCUCUGCCUGCUCUUGGACCUCAUAUAAAUGGGAUCGUGCAGUGUGUGCUCUUUUGUGGCCGGCUGCUUUGGCUCAACAUUAUGUCCAGAAGAUUCAUCACGUCACCCUCUCCGGUCUUCACCAUCUUAGCCACAGCCCUGCGCGUCAGACAGCCCCGGCCGGGCCUGCAGCAGCUCAGAAAUGGGGCCUGUUCCCAGCCCCACGUGUGGCCAGUAUCAGCACAGCCAGCCAGCCGUGAUGAGGCCUCCCAGCCCGGUGGGCCUGGAGUGGCCAUGUCCACUGCCCCGACCCGACCCCCUGCCCAGGGCUGGACAGGACUUCUGGGUACAGCCUCAAUAUACGGCUGGGGCUGAAAGAUACCCAAAUUGACGGAGAAGCAGAUUAAGGCUCAGAGAGGGGACGUGGCUUGCCCACGGUCAGCCAGGGGUGAAGUCUCAGCGCUGGUCCUCUUUCUAAGGCCUGGGCCCAGUGCCCGCCCAGGACUUGUCAGACUCUGAGGUGCACGUGGAUCGCGGGGGCCGUGUUCAAGCGCAGCAGGCCGGCUGGGGCCCGGACCUGGUAUUUCCAACAACUCCCCAGCUCGUGGCUGCCGCUGGUCUGCAAACUCCACAUGGAGCUGCAAAGCCGUCGCCUGGCGGAGGAACUAGUCUCAACUCCACCCUCAGAAGCCCACAGGCCACCCCCGAGGAAGGGUGGAGCGCUGGCGGUGUGGCUGAUGAAGCCGCUUAAGAAACCCCGACCUCCACGGCCCGCCCUGCCCCAGCCAUCUAGGACACCAGAGCUGCCGGAACAUUUUAUUAAGUUAAGAAGGCUCAUGGAGCAGAGGAGAGACACCUUCACGGGGUGGCUCCAGCGCUUCCACGCCCAGCACCUCCAGAGGAGGAGGUACGGCCUGGGGACAGCUGCUGGCUCCCUCUGUCCAUCUGUCCCUCCGCCAGAGCCCCAGGGUGUGGGUCCCCCAGGGCAGGAAGUAGUUAGUGGGAGGUAGGGUGGCUGGCCCCCUGCCUCUCCCACAGAGUCCACCCUGCCAUGGCCGCUGCUGGGCCCCCACCAGACCCCGGGCAGGGCCACAGGCCCAGAAGCCCAGGCAGGUGGCUGUAGACAGAGCCCAGGCCAGUGUGGAGGCACACGGCCACCAGGUACUGCUUUUUAAAAGGUAUAAAGUGUUUUGGGGAAAAAA
This is a non-coding RNA of Equus caballus (horse), 3691 nucleotides long. The record is from RefSeq and is a predicted model, not a curated record. Lineage: Eukaryota; Metazoa; Chordata; Mammalia; Perissodactyla; Equidae.